This 74-nucleotide transfer RNA is filed under the name Arthrobacter sp. zg-Y1110. RNAcentral describes it as "tRNA-Pro". It matches the Rfam family "tRNA". Rfam says of the family: Transfer RNA (tRNA) molecules are approximately 80 nucleotides in length. Their secondary structure includes four short double-helical elements and three loops (D, anti-codon, and T loops). Further hydrogen bonds mediate the characteristic L-shaped molecular structure. tRNAs have two regions of fundamental functional importance: the anti-codon, which is responsible for specific mRNA codon recognition, and the 3' end, to which the tRNAs corresponding amino acid is attached (by aminoacyl-tRNA synthetases). tRNAs cope with the degeneracy of the genetic code in two manners: having more than one tRNA (with a specific anti-codon) for a particular amino acid; and 'wobble' base-pairing, i.e. permitting non-standard base-pairing at the 3rd anti-codon position. The record is from RNAcentral. Lineage: Bacteria; Bacillati; Actinomycetota; Actinomycetes; Micrococcales; Micrococcaceae.
CGGAGUGUGGCGCAGCUUGGUAGCGCGCGUCGUUCGGGACGACGAGGCCGCAGGUUCAAAUCCUGUCACUCCGA